UGCUGAUGAAACAGUCUGACUGGCCUGAUGCAGGGAACUGGAUCUGUUUCAUCAUGGGAAACACAGAGCUUUCAUCUGCAUCUCACAGUUUUCAUCAGCGGAUGGAGCCUGUUGUCAUGGAGACGGCUCAGUUGUCAUCACGUGACGUAAAGUAUGAAACUUGGUAGCCCCUGUCUGUGUACAAGGAUGUCAAAUUGAAAAAAAGACCAUCUGCUGGUGAAUGCUGCCGACAGGAAGCCGAGCACCGCGUGUUUCUCAAGACUUCCUGAGGAUGUCACGAUUCCCGCGACCGUCAUCAGCCGCGCUUUAAAAAAAGAGACACGCUGCCCCGGCUUGAUCCGAGAACUUCCUGACGACGGGGGAUGACUUCCUGUCAGGAGGGGAAGUGAUGAUUAUCUGCACCCUGUCAGGCUCUCCGUACACCGCACCAGGUACAGCUACUUCCCAAAUCCCUGUCAUUGUCUCGCAGAGUUCCAGGGGAGGACGGGGAUUAAGAGAUGAAGCCCUGUCUGAGUCUGUGCUAAUCUCUGGAUGUUUUAACACCUUUCCUCGUCUAACAUCCUCAGCCUCACUCAGCUUCCUCUCCUCCCGCUGCGAUGCUGCAACAGAGCUGUUAUUUUCACUGAUGAUGACAUGAUGGGAAAGUCGUGCAGGUUUUCCUUUCAGCGUACAACAACAAGAUAAGAUCUCUAUGAUAGAUAGAUUUACGGCCUCACAUGAUGCACAACUAAUGCUUUCUCAAUAGAGAGAAAAUAAAAUCCAUAUUGACUUUCUCAUACUGCUACAUUAUCUUGGAUUGUGUCCUAGCUGCAGCAGAUUUAUUGAAGAUAACCUUCUGUUUCUCCUUUUAAUUGACUUUUUCUUUACUGUAACACAGCAUGUGGGCGGAAUAAACAGCACUUAACUGCACACGUGCGUUAACACAGCCGGCUGUGAAAACCUUCCUGAUUGUUCUGGCCAACUGCGACGCACAGCAGAUUGUGAUUCAGGGUUUGACAGCAGCUGCUCACAAACUGACAAGCUCCGGGAGAAAGUGAGAUGACAGCGCUAUAAACUCGCAGAUUUACACCUGAGCUCGACUGCGCCCUGCGGGGAGGAAACUUCUUACUGCUGGAUUCAAGAAUUACCAAAUAACAGAGAGCAUUCUAUAAAGGAGGUAAUUGUGCCUUUGUUUGAGGCUUGACAGUGUAGAGAGAGAGAGAGAGAGAGAGAGAGAGAGGAUAAUAUGGAGAAAGAGAGGGGUACGACAGGCAACAAGGGGAUGUUACAGUGAUAUGGUAGGAGCUUUAAUCAUUAAGCCGGAGAUAUACUCGCUGUUCUACCAGGCCACGGACACGUCACAUUCAUUUCUGAGGAUGUACACAAACAACGAUGAGGCAGCCAUCAUGUGUGGGCGACAGAGUAGUUAAUGUAUUUAUUUCUCCAGCCUUAGAGCACCAGGACGCCCCAUCAGAUGAUAUUUUAUAAAUUAAAUGUUUAUAAUAAUACAUAUAAAAUAUUUAUCAAGCAGUCAAAAACGAUUUUUAAAGCAAUGACUUGCAUAUAAAGCUGAAACAGUUACUCAAUUAAACAGUGAAUCGGCUGAAGACGUAUCUAUUAGUACUUUGAUAAUCAAUAAAUAGACUUAAUUCAUUAUAAUGAAGCUUAUCGAACACCUGUAGACCAGUCUAUUUAUUUUAGAGCUGCAGUAACACUAAUUACUUUCAUUCAUUAAUCUCUAAACAAUUUUCUAUCAAAUAUUACAGACUAAUGAAAAUAUGAUUCAUACAAUUUCAAAUUAGUUGCUAAUUGUUUUAACUUUUCAUUUCAUUGUUUUAUUGUGAAAUUACUGUGAACAGCUACGGUAAGUAGAGGGACGUUCACUUCAUUAAGCUUCACAGGCAUCUGCUUGUUGUAGGUUUUUUUUUUUUUUACCAUUAGCUAAUGUAUUAAAAACCAGAUUUAAUCAUCAAUAAGUACACAUCCCUCACUUUCAUACUCAAAACAAGACUUAAUACAUAACACAAUAGUAAAACACAGCAACCAGCACCAAAGUCUGAGACCAUCAUACCGACCAGCUCACUGUUCACAUAUUCAGGUGUCACCUCCUUCACACAUCUGGAAGGCUGAAACUGCACAUCUGGAAGGCUGAAACUGCACUUCAUCCCCAAACUUAUGUCUUCUUCGUCUUAUAUCAUAAAACCUGGAUGUUUUAGGGUCCACACACCUCUCCGACAGCUCAACAUCACAGCACAAACACACAUGAUGUCAGCAACCCCACUACAAACACUGAUGAGAGGUAAAAAGUGAACACAGCUGAGGGGAAACACAGACACAAACAGUCUGUUGAUGCUCUGUGGGGUAGCUCUGCCUUGUGGUCACUAAAAACAUCCACACAUGUCAAACAAAUACCCCCAAACCAGCAGCAGGAGCAGCUCAUUAUUACAGAGGUAUAAAGCUGGACAAUCACAGCAGCUAACUCUAUCUGAAUGUUACUGAGCAUCCGACAAUCACUGCACAAAUAAUGCUAACGUUACCUAUGGUUGUUAUGUUACACCUGCAGAUGGCUGGCAAUAAUUAGCUAAUAUUCAUAAAUAUCUUAAAAACAAACAACACAAUAGAAAUAUUGAUUCGUACCUUUAGAAGAAGUCCUGCUCCAUGGUCAACUUCACUGUUGCUGUCAUCUUCAAACGCUAAUUAGCGUUUAGUUAACGUAGCUAACGUUAAGCUAACUAAACUAGCAUUACGUUAACGUUAAUUUAAGCGUAACGACGCAUUGGACGCCGGAUCUUACGUCAACGUCGCCGCCAUAUUGGACCGGGCUCGACUGGCCUGUAAACAAAUACAAUUUUUAUAUUCUAAGGUUUACGAUAUACCUGGAGUAUAAUUAUAUAAGCUCUAAUAGCAGCGAGACGUUUGAGAGAGGAGAAAUAAACGGAAAAUAAUUAAUCGACGUAAUAUCAAUAACAGUGUUUGUUUACAGGCCAGUCGAGCCCGGUCCAAUAUGUUUAGCUGUGGCUCUUUAGCUCCCUGCUCUCACCUGUUGAAAGGGGCAGUUACUGUCAUUCCCACGGUCUGUUCCUUCACUUCACUUAAUAAAAACAUAUUCUUGGGUCUUUCUUAUAUCUUUCUUGUAGCCAAAGUUUUCCAAAACUGUCUAGAAGCUAAAUCUAAACACUCCCUCUGCAGCAGGGAAAAGCCAAUUAAUACACCUGGUCCAGGUAGCCACGCCCCUUACUGAUCAAUACAUGAGAGAUGAUUGGUUAGAGCAGUAAUAUAGCAGUAGCGGUCAAACUGUAUCUAUAUGUGCUACAUUUACUCAAAUACUUUUAACUUUCUGGUACUUGAUUCUUAUAAUCUACAUUUCAAAUGCUAAUAUUGUUCUUUUUACUCUUUUUGCAGACUGAUAUUUUGCAUACAAAACCUUUUUUAUUUGCUUCUAAAAAAUAUCUUGUGAAUUAAACUACUCAACAGUAGGCUAUAAAGGUAAUAAUAACAAAAAAAUAUCCAAUAAUGUAAUAUAUAAAAUAAUAUAAGGAUGACACUGGGCCAUUCUAGAAAAUCAGAAUCAGGUUUAUUGUCAUGUAGAUUUGUCACAUACAUUGAAUUGGUUGGCGCACAACAAUAGUACAAUAAAAAAAAUAUGAAUAAACAAAUAAAUAAAGCCAUUGUUUUAAGUUGUAGAGUUUGUGCAGGAGUGUGAAAAAGAUCACAGUAUUAGAUAUAAAGAAUAUUUGUAAGAUAACUCUACCAUACGCACAUUUACUUCAAACUUUAAAUGCAGAACCUUUACUUGUAAUGGAGCAUUUUUACAUUAUAAUAUUGAUAUUUUUGCUCGAGGAAAGGAUCAGAUUACUGUGGUGGUUUUGCAUUUCUGCCUGCACCAGGUUAUACCAGCAAAUCCUUAAUUCAAUCAAAAUAUCAUUUUUGUAAGCAUGCUGCUCCCGUGGCUGAGCACCUACAUGUCCUGAUGUCCGA
Molecule: long non-coding RNA, 3957 nt
Organism: Dicentrarchus labrax (European seabass)
Lineage: Eukaryota; Metazoa; Chordata; Actinopteri; Moronidae
Exons: 3
Source: RefSeq, a predicted model, not a curated record